GACGUAGGAUCCGAGCGUUGUCCGGAGUUACUGGGCGUAAAGGGCGCGUAGGCGGCCAUCUAAGUCAGACGUGAAAUCCCCCGGCUUAACCUGGGAACUGCGUCUGAUACUGGACGGCUUGAGUAUGGGAGAGGGAUGUAGAAUUCCAGGUGCAGCGGUGAAAUGCGUAGAGAUGUGGAGGAACACCAGUGGCGAAGGCGACUCUCUGGUCUGUAACUGACGCUGAGGCGCGAAAGCGUGGGGAGCAAACAGG
This 253-nucleotide ribosomal RNA is filed under the name uncultured bacterium. Its description in RNAcentral is "partial 16S ribosomal RNA". It matches the Rfam family "Bacterial small subunit ribosomal RNA", at positions 524 to 776 of the family's 1533-position model. The record is from RNAcentral.